GGGGGGGGCGGCGGGUCUAGGUUUAAGCCCUGUCCCUCUUAUUGAGCUGCCUAUGACUGUAAUAAAUGUAUAAACCUGUUACAAGUAACUCUCAAAACUAUGAUUUGUCAGACCCCUCAUUUCAAAGUCAUGUAUCCGCAUCUGGUUAACAAAGCAUUUAUUGCACCUUAGGACCUAGUAAUGUCAAUGUACACUGGCAGUAGACCAUUUAAUUUCCCACAGCUAUUCUAAGACAAGUUAUACAAAUAAAGUUGCUACUUAAUAGUGUUAUAUUGAUUGGUUUGUUUUAUGUCUAAUAUACAUCAUACAAUAUUUUAUUUAAGAUUUUUUUAUAAAC
RNAcentral lists this long non-coding RNA (337 nucleotides) under Mytilus galloprovincialis (Mediterranean mussel). Lineage: Eukaryota; Metazoa; Mollusca; Bivalvia; Mytilida; Mytilidae. The record is from RNAcentral.